UACACCACCACUCCGACCCGUCUCCGCCACCGCUCCGCUACGGAGAGGUAGAAGCGUCGGCAAGACUCUCGUCGCAGCUCGCCCUGGAAAGCAAAAAUCACCGCCGCCACGCAGUCUUCGGACCACCGCCAUCGACGGAACAGACUCCGCCAGCAGUUUCCCCUCAAUCUCGAAUUAUUUCAUCAUCAAAUCAUCAAUACAAUCUCCUCAAGAUACCCUGGCGUCUUGAGUCUAGUCUUACGCGAUUCGGAUUAGGAAAACCAAUCUGAGAGGUUGUCUCAAUUUUUCUAGACCUGUCCAUAGAAAGAGACAUUGUAAGGUAUGUUUGUUCAUCGCAUGGUGGAGACUUUAGGAGCAUCUGUCUUUCCUUAUCUUCCAAAGGCAAUGGCUUUACUUGUAGAAAGUGAGGGAAAAGAUGUUAUUUGAACUAUUUCAAGUUUGAUUAAUCACAAAAUCAAAGGUCUGAAUAUAUUGACUUCUCUGAUAUAAGUUAUCAUCUAAUGAUCUUGUUUCUCAGUUUGACUAUUUCCCCAAUAAGCAAUGACAUGACACUAUGUUCUGAUAAUGUGUUUGUAUAUAUAUAUAUGCAUACGUAAUUAAUGAGUUUGACUGUACACAGUUUAUUUUGCCACAUUGAUGAUGCUAAGAUUAUUGGCACUAAAUGCCUUGUACUUGGUAGCCAAAGGAAGUAGUGGGUUUCUGGUGCUGCUUAAUCAGCUUAUCUGCAAAUUCAACACAGCAAUUGGAGACAUUGGAGGAAGUGUACCCCUGACGCCAUGGAGAGAAUGGAGAGAUUUCUUAUUGAUAGACCAGGUUCAGAGUGCACUAUGGACCCCCGUGCAUGUAUAUGUGUUAUGUUGUGAGCUUUUGUAUCUUGUUUUAUGUAAUUCUGUACUUUAAGAUUAUAACUUUUGUACUUAAAAUAAAACAAUAAUUGUGUCUUA
This is a long non-coding RNA of Ipomoea triloba (trilobed morning glory), 944 nucleotides long. RefSeq lists it as uncharacterized. The record is from RefSeq and is a predicted model, not a curated record. Lineage: Eukaryota; Viridiplantae; Streptophyta; Magnoliopsida; Solanales; Convolvulaceae. The transcript is spliced from 2 exons.